Molecule: ribosomal RNA, 396 nt
Filed under: uncultured bacterium
Lineage: Bacteria
Description: partial 16S ribosomal RNA
Rfam family: Bacterial small subunit ribosomal RNA
Source: RNAcentral
AUACGUAGGGAGCGAGCGUUGUCCGGAAUUACUGGGUGUAAAGGGAGCGUAGGCGGGAGUGCAAGUCAGAUGUGAAAUACCGGGGCUCAACCCCGGAGCUGCAUUUGAAACUGUGGUUCUUGAGUGAGGUAGAGGUAAGCGGAAUUCCUAGUGUAGCGGUGAAAUGCGUAGAUAUUAGGAGGAACAUCGGUGGCGAAGGCGGCUUACUGGGCCUUUACUGACGCUGAGGCACGAAAGCGUGGGGAGCAAACAGGAUUAGAUACCCUGGUAGUCCACGCUGUAAACGAUGAUGACUAGGUGUGGGGGGACUGAACCCUUCCGUGCCGCAGUUAACACAAUAAGUCAUCCACCUGGGGAGUGCGGCCGCAAGGUUGAAACUCAAAUGAAUUGACGGGG